ACGCCAUGGCGGCACAUAUGCUAAAAAUACAUAUACAGAGAAGGUUAGCAUGGCCCCUGCGAAAGGAUGACACGCAAAUCCGUGAAGCGUUCCAAUCUUUU
RNAcentral lists this small nuclear RNA (101 nucleotides) under Carassius auratus (goldfish). The record is from RNAcentral. Lineage: Eukaryota; Metazoa; Chordata; Actinopteri; Cypriniformes; Cyprinidae.